UCACUAUGUCCCAGGCUGACCUGAAACUCACUCUGAAGCCCAGGCUGGGCUGAAACUCAUGACCAUCCUCUUACUUCACUCUCCCCAGUGUUGGGAUAAUAGACAUGAGUUACCCCACCUGACAUCCAUGACAUUUUUUUAGUUGACUGAAAACAAAAGUCCAUCUAUCUUACAUUUUGUUUAUUAUGCUUUAAGUUAAAGGUUGUUUAAUAUCAAUGGAAGGUCAUAGCUGUGCUGAACAAGUUUUCCCCUUAGGUCUGUUAAAAUCCCACAAGGCUGGAUGGAGAGAUGGUUGAGUGGUUAAGGCACUUAACUGCAAACCUAAAGACCCUGGUGGGAUUUCCCGGGACCCAUGUAAAGCCAGAUGAACAAGGCGGAGCAUGUGACUGGAGUUUGCUUGUAGAUCUUACUUCCUAGAGCUAGAACUUCUAGAUUGGAAGCUCCUUCUUGGAGGGAUCCAGGUUACUUUCCCCUCAUGUCCUUGUUUAACUCCUCGCUGGCCAGGGAAGUGGCGCCCAAAUGUGGGGCUUGAGGUACAAAAUGUGAUCUGGAUGUCGCUCAAGUGUACGUCAUCACACCCAUUGGAUCACCACCUCAUCAGUGAGUGAAGAUCCGCAUGCAGAUCACCGCAGGAGUGCCCGCCUGUGAUACAGAUCUGGAGAGGUAAGAAAAGCGAUGCAAUUAUGGGACAAGCAUUAAGUAAGCAUGAAUUGUUUGUUGAAGGGCUUAAAACUUCUCUCAAGACACUUGGAAUACAGGUUAAGAAAAAAGAUUUAGUGAAAUUCUUUGUCUUUUUAGAAGAUGUCUGUCCCUGGUUCCCCCAGGAAGGAACUAUAGAUGAGAAGCGGUGGCAUCGUGUUGGUGACUGCCUAAAGGACUACUACCAUUCUUAUGGUCCUGAAAAGGUUCCAGUGCAGGUGUUUUCUUAUUGGAAUCUCAUUAAUGACAUAUUACAGUUCUGCCCCUAUCACCCUGAUGUUUCAAAAGUAGUUACAGAUAAUGAGAAUUUCCUUAAAAAUAAAUUCACCAGUAGUCAGACCUCCCUCCCUAAGAAUGAAGUCCCAGAGAAUCCCUACCCCGCCUGCACUGGCUCUCGCUCCAUGCUGUGCUGUGGGCCAAAAACCUGCCCUUUCUCUCAAGGCUCUAAUUGCUCCUCUAUUAUCAUUCCUAUUCCAGAAAAUGCUGAUGAUCCGCCACCUAAUAACCCAUCCCCGCCUAGUAGCCCUCUCCCGUAAUCUAUCGAUCCAGUUCUGUCUAACUUACAAACCACCAAUCCUAAUGAAGACUCCCUUUCCCCCUGAGAAAGAGGCAAAUAAAGCUGAGGGAGAAGGUGAAUUGCAGGAUGAAGCUACUAAAUAUCAUUACCCUGAUUGGCCCCCCGAGACACUUUUGGGUAUACGGUCACCACCCUAUAACGUAGCAUCCCCUUCUUCUGCCCCAGCGCUUGAUGCUCCCUCUGAUCUAGAAGAAAUAACUAGACAAGCCAUUACUAAACUUUCCUGGGAGACACAGUCUCUUAAGACACUCCUCCAAGCCAAAAAGGGAAAGUCGCAGCUGCUCAAGCAAUUACGCGAUCUUGUAGAAAUACGCUCCCCCUCCGCUCACCCUGUUCAGAAAACUAAAACCAAAAGUAAAGCUCUCCAUGCCUUUCCUGUAACUCGCUCCCAAGUUAAACCUAUUGAAGGAAAAACUAAUGAGGCUGAGCCACAGGAUCCAGAUAGCCCAGAAGAGGGAGAGGGAGAAUCUGAGACAAGGGAACCUGCUGGGUCAGAAAGCACUGAGAAUGAGGAAGGGGAUGAAACUCUACUCAUUAAAGCCGAGAGAUAUCGCUGUCUUAAGUUUAAACAUAUAAAAGAGUUUUAAAAUGCAGUUAGUUUGUAUGGUCCUAUUGCUCCUUUCACUCUCUCGCUGUUAGAAUCUCUAAGUGAAGACUUACUUACUGUAAUGAUUGGGUGAUGUUAACUAAAGCUACUUUAACUAGGGGUGACUUUCUUCUAUGGAAAGCUGAUUACACUGAGGGGUGCCAGGAUGCUGCCGACCGUAAUUUGGCCGCUGGUGGUUCCUCCAAAACCUGGACGCUAGAUAAACUUUUGGGCAACUGUCCUUACUAUACGAAUGAAAAACCAAAUUUCCUCCAGGAUUACUUACACAAAUUCAACAUGCAGCUCUUAAAGCCUGGAAGAGCCUUCUCUCUAAAGGGUCAGCUGUCACCUCUCAUGCUAAACUGAGAAGGGUCCACAAGAGCUUUGUAGUGAUUUUAUCGGCCGUCUUACAGAGGCUGUUGAGUGCCUCAUGGGAAAGGAGGAAACAGAUAAUUUGUUAGACAUCUUGCCUUUCAGAAUGCUAACUCAGCCUGCCAAGCGGCUAUAUGCCCCCAUCACCAUGGCAAAAAUAUUUCUGACUUUAUCAAAUUCUGUGCUGAUGUAGACCCUGCAUCCCAC
Long non-coding RNA from Jaculus jaculus (lesser Egyptian jerboa), 2441 nucleotides. RefSeq lists it as uncharacterized. The record is from RefSeq and is a predicted model, not a curated record. NCBI's taxonomy places the organism in Eukaryota, Metazoa, Chordata, Mammalia, Rodentia, Dipodidae. The transcript is spliced from 3 exons.